AGUGAACGCUGGCGGUAGGCCUAACACAUGCAAGUCGAACGGCAGCACAGUAAGAUCUUGCUCUUACGGGUGGCGAGUGGCGGACGGGUGAGGAAUACAUCGGAAUCUACUUUUUCGGGGGGGAUAACGUAGGGAAACUUACGCUAAUACCGCAUACGACCUACGGGUGAAAGCAGUGGAUCUUCGGACCUUGCGCGAAUGAAUGAGCCGAUGUCGGAUUAGCUAGUUGGCGGGGUAAAGGCCCACCAAGGCGACGAUCCGUAGCUGGUCUGAGAGGAUGAUCAGCCACACUGGAACUGAGACACGGUCCAGACUCCUACGGGAGGCAGCAGUGGGGAAUAUUGGACAAUGGGCGCAAGCCUGAUCCAGCCAUACCGCGUGGGUGAAGAAGGCCUUCGGGUUGUAAAGCCCUUUUGUUGGGAAAGAACAGCAGCAGGUUAAUACCCCGCUGUUCUGACGGUACCCAAAGAAUAAGCACCGGCUAACUUCGUG
RNAcentral lists this ribosomal RNA (492 nucleotides) under uncultured bacterium. RNAcentral describes it as "partial 16S ribosomal RNA". It matches the Rfam family "Bacterial small subunit ribosomal RNA", at positions 29 to 507 of the family's 1533-position model. The record is from RNAcentral.